This 330-nucleotide long non-coding RNA is filed under the name Homo sapiens (human). RNAcentral's name for it is "non-protein coding lnc-FAM160A1-5:1". The record is from RNAcentral. Lineage: Eukaryota; Metazoa; Chordata; Mammalia; Primates; Hominidae.
GGAACUGCAGCUUUGUUCUUGCUGUCUCCCUUGGAUCACUUGCUUGGGGGGAACCAGCUGCCAUGUUGUGAGAUGCUCAAGCAGCUGUAUGGAGGAGCCCAUGUGGAAAAAAACUGAGCACCCCUCACAACCGAUAUUCCCUUACCAGGAGUGUGGCAAGCCUCCCUGGAAGCAGACUCUUCAGCACCAGUCAAGCUUUCAGAUGCUGCAGCCGUGGGCAAUGACUUUGCUGCAAUCUUAUGAGAGACUAAGCCAGAACCACCCAGCUAAGUGGCUCCCACAUUCAUGACUCACGAAAACUGUGUCUUGGUUUUGAGCUAUAAAUUCUUG